UGGGGAAUAUUGGACAAUGGGCGAAAGCCUGAUCCAGCCAUGCCGCGUGUGUGAAGAAGGUCUUCGGAUUGUAAUGCACUUUAAGUUGGGAGGAAGGGCAGUAAGCGAAUACCUUGCUGUUUUGACGUUACCGACAGAAUAAGCACCGGCUAACUCUGUGCCAGCAGCCGCGGUAAUACAGAGGGUGCGAGCGUUAAUCGGAUUUACUGGGCGUAAAGCGUGCGUAGGCGGCUGAUUAAGUCGGAUGUGAAAUCCCUGAGCUUAACUUAGGAAUUGCAUUCGAUACUGGUCAGCUAGAGUAUGGGAGAGGAUGGUAGAAUUCCAGGUGUAGCGGUGAAAUGCGUAGAGAUCUGGAGGAAUACCGAUGGCGAAGGCAGCCAUCUGGCCUAAUACUGACGCUGAGGUACGAAAGCAUGGGGAGCAAACAGG
This 429-nucleotide ribosomal RNA is filed under the name Pseudomonadota bacterium. Its description in RNAcentral is "Proteobacteria bacterium partial 16S ribosomal RNA". It matches the Rfam family "Bacterial small subunit ribosomal RNA", at positions 355 to 776 of the family's 1533-position model. Lineage: Bacteria; Pseudomonadati; Pseudomonadota. The record is from RNAcentral.